AGCGAACGCUGGCGGCAGGCCUAACACAUGCAAGUCGAACGAACUCUUCGGAGUUAGUGGCGGACGGGUGAGUAACACGUGGGAACGUGCCUUUUGGUUCGGAAUAACUCAGGGAAACUUGUGCUAAUACCGAAUGUGCCCUUCGGGGGAAAGAUUUAUCGCCAUUAGAGCGGCCCGCGUCCGAUUAGCUAGUUGGUGAGGUAACGGCUCACCAAGGCGACGAUCAGUAGCUGGUCUGAGAGGAUGACCAGCCACACUGGGACUGAGACACGGCCCAGACUCCUACGGGAGGCAGCAGUGGGGAAUCUUGCGCAAUGGGCGAAAGCCUGACGCAGCCAUGCCGCGUGAAUGAUGAAGGUCUUAGGAUUGUAAAAUUCUUUCACCGGGGACGAUAAUGACGGUACCCGGAGAAGAAGCCCCGGCUAACUUCGUG
This 433-nucleotide ribosomal RNA is filed under the name uncultured bacterium. Its description in RNAcentral is "partial 16S ribosomal RNA". It matches the Rfam family "Bacterial small subunit ribosomal RNA", at positions 29 to 507 of the family's 1533-position model. The record is from RNAcentral.